UACGGGGGGUGCAAGCGUUAUCCGGAUUUAUUGGGUUUAAAGGGUGCGUAGGCUGUGAGGUAAGUCAGCGGUGAAAUGCCCCCGCUCAACGGGGUGAAGUGCCAUUGAUACUGCUUUGCUGGAAUGCGGAUGCCGUGGGAGGAAUGUGUGGUGUAGCGGUGAAAUGCAUAGAUAUCACACAGAACACCGAUUGCGAAGGCAUCUCACGAAUCCGCUAUUGACGCUGAUGCACGAAAGCGUGGGUAUCAAACAGG
This 254-nucleotide ribosomal RNA is filed under the name uncultured bacterium. Its description in RNAcentral is "partial 16S ribosomal RNA". It matches the Rfam family "Bacterial small subunit ribosomal RNA", at positions 524 to 776 of the family's 1533-position model. The record is from RNAcentral.